GUAGGCAUAGUGUAAAGGCAACACGCCAGACUGUGGCUCUGGUAUUGUGGGUUCAAACCCCACUGCCUACCCCA
RNAcentral lists this transfer RNA (74 nucleotides) under Caldicellulosiruptor acetigenus. RNAcentral's name for it is "tRNA-His". It matches the Rfam family "tRNA". Rfam says of the family: Transfer RNA (tRNA) molecules are approximately 80 nucleotides in length. Their secondary structure includes four short double-helical elements and three loops (D, anti-codon, and T loops). Further hydrogen bonds mediate the characteristic L-shaped molecular structure. tRNAs have two regions of fundamental functional importance: the anti-codon, which is responsible for specific mRNA codon recognition, and the 3' end, to which the tRNAs corresponding amino acid is attached (by aminoacyl-tRNA synthetases). tRNAs cope with the degeneracy of the genetic code in two manners: having more than one tRNA (with a specific anti-codon) for a particular amino acid; and 'wobble' base-pairing, i.e. permitting non-standard base-pairing at the 3rd anti-codon position. RNAcentral also lists the same sequence under 4 other names. Lineage: Bacteria; Bacillati; Bacillota; Caldicellulosiruptorales; Caldicellulosiruptoraceae. The record is from RNAcentral.